Molecule: ribosomal RNA, 433 nt
Filed under: uncultured bacterium
Lineage: Bacteria
Description: partial 16S ribosomal RNA
Rfam family: Bacterial small subunit ribosomal RNA
Source: RNAcentral
AACGAACGCUGGCGGCAUGCCUAACACAUGCAAGUCGAACGAGACCUUCGGGUCUAGUGGCGCACGGGUGCGUAACGCGUGGGAACCUGCCCUUAGGUUCGGAAUAACUCCCCGAAAGGGGUGCUAAUACCGGAUAAUGUCUUCGGACCAAAGAUUUAUCGCCUUUGGAUGGGCCCGCGUUGGAUUAGCUAGUUGGUAGGGUAAAAGCCUACCAAGGCGACGAUCCAUAGCUGGUCUGAGAGGAUGAUCAGCCACACUGGGACUGAGACCCGGCCCAGACUCCUACGGGAGGGAGGAAUGGGGAAUAUUGGACAAUGGGCGAAAGCCUGAUCCAGCAAUGCCGCGUGAGUGAUGAAGGCCUUAGGGUUGUAAAGCUCUUUUACCCGGGAUGAUAAUGACAGUACCGGGAGAAUAAGCUCCGGCUAACUCCGUG